GAUGAAGAACGCAGCGAAAUGCAAUAAGUAAUGUGAAUUGCAGAAUUCAGUGAAUCAUCGAAUCUUUGAACGCACAUUGCGCCCGCCAGCAUUCUGGCGGGCAUGCCUGUUCGAGCGUCAUUUCAACCCUCGAGCCCCCCCGGGGGCCUCGGUGUUGGGGGACGGCACACCAGCCGCCCCCGAAAUGCAGUGGCGACCCCGCCGCAGCCUCCCCUGCGUAGUAGCACACACCUCGCACCGGAGCGCGGAGGCGGUCACGCCGUAAAACGCCCAACUUUCUUAGAGUUGACCUCGGAUCAGGUAGGAAUACCCGCUGAACUUAAGCAUAUCAAUAAGCGGAGGA
Molecule: unclassified non-coding RNA, 343 nt
Filed under: soil metagenome
Description: partial contains 5.8S ribosomal RNA, internal transcribed spacer 2, and large subunit ribosomal RNA
Rfam family: 5.8S ribosomal RNA (bases 1-120)
Source: RNAcentral